This 590-nucleotide ribosomal RNA is filed under the name Ravinia pusiola. RNAcentral describes it as "eukaryotic LSU rRNA". It matches the Rfam family "Eukaryotic large subunit ribosomal RNA", at positions 727 to 1270 of the family's 3401-position model. The record is from RNAcentral. Lineage: Eukaryota; Metazoa; Arthropoda; Insecta; Diptera; Sarcophagidae.
UUUUUAGAUUAUUUAUAGUCUAUUAAUUCAAUCCCGGGGCGUUCUAUAUAGUUAUGUAUAAUAAUAUUUAUAUUAUUUAUACCUCUAACUAGAGCGUACCUUGAGCAUAUAUGCUGUGACCCGAAAGAUGGUGAACUAUACUUGAUCAGGUUGAAGUCAGGGGAAACCCUGAUGGAAGACCGAAACAGUUCUGACGUGCAAAUCGAUUGUCAGAAUUGAGUAUAGGGGCGAAAGACCAAUCGAACCAUCUAGUAGCUGGUUCCCUCCGAAGUUUCCCUCAGGAUAGCUGGUGCAUUUAAAUAUUAUGUAAAAUAAUCUUAUCUGGUAAAGCGAAUGAUUAGAGGCCUUAGGGUCGAAACGACCUUAACCUAUUCUCAAACUUUAAAUGGGUAAGAACCUCACCUUUCUUGGUAUGAAGGUUGUGGUUGUGAUAUAAUGUGCCCAGUGGGCCACUUUUGGUAAGCAGAACUGGCGCUGUGGGAUGAACCAAACGUAAUGUUACGGUGCCCAAAUUAACAACUCAUGCAGAUACCAUGAAAGGCGUUGGUUGCUUAAAACAGCAGGACGGUGGACAUGGAAGUCGUAAUCCG